CUUAACACUGAGCCCCAGGAUCAGGCAGUGUCAAUAUCUUUCCAUGGAAAUCUGGCUCACACAAGAGGAGAAAAGAGGCCAAAGGGAAGAAAGACUAAACCAGGGGAGAUCGCAGGCAGGAGGAAGGCCACCGGGUCGUCGCCAAAUUGAGGGAGGAGAAGCCCCGGAGCCCAGACACCUCCAUCUCGGAGAGGGGGGAAGCUGCGCACAGGCGGCUGCCUCACCUCUUUGUCAAGCCGACGGCCUCAGCCUCAGACACUAGGAAGUCCUCGCCUUGGAGUGAAAGAGGGGCGCCGCGGGCCGCCCCUCCCCCCGCCCCUAUGACACGCGGGCCCUGCCUCGGGCGACCUGUUGGCAGGGCGCAUCACGUGACGCGGCGGGCCGCGCUGUCCCCGCGGGCGGGCCUCCUGUUGCGCCCGCCGGGCGGGUUCCACCACGUAGCGCGCGGGCGCCGCCCCGCUCUUCCCUCGCCGGAG
Molecule: long non-coding RNA, 476 nt
Filed under: Cricetulus griseus (Chinese hamster)
Lineage: Eukaryota; Metazoa; Chordata; Mammalia; Rodentia; Cricetidae
Description: lncRNA (ENSCGRG00015036035.1)
Source: RNAcentral